AUGACACCUCCUGCUGCCUUAAGUAGCCACCUCCCCAUCUUCUAUCAAAUCAUCUCCACACCCUCUAAUCUCUUUGAGAACCCAUACAGCACAGCGGACACUUUUCUUAUCUUUCCAAUGGCGGCAGCCACCAUGUCCCUUUCCUCAUCGACCUUCGCCGGCAAGGCGCUGAAGAAUGUACCAUCUUUGGCUGUCUUUGGUGAGGCGAGAGUCACCAUGCGCAAGACCGUAGCAAAGGCGAAGCAGGUUUCUUCCGGCAGCCCAUGGUACGGUGCUGACCGUGUGCUUUACCUCGGCCCACUCUCCGGUGAGCCCCCAAGCUAUCUGACAGGUGAGUUCCCAGGUGACUAUGGGUGGGACACAGCCGGACUUUCAGCUGACCCUGAGACCUUCUCCAAGAACCGGGAGUUGGAGGUGAUCCACUGUCGUUGGGCCAUGCUUGGGGCACUUGGUUGCGUCUUCCCUGAGUUGCUCGCCCGCAAUGGCGUUAAGUUCGGUGAGGCUGUUUGGUUCAAGGCCGGCUCUCAAAUCUUUAGUGAGGGUGGUCUUGACUACCUUGGCAACCCCAGCCUUGUCCACGCACAAAGCAUCCUGGCUAUUUGGGCAUGUCAGGUCGUGCUCAUGGGUGCCGUCGAGGGGUACCGCGUUGCCGGCGGCCCACUCGGUGAGAUCGUCGACCCACUCUACCCAGGCGGCAGCUUCGACCCUCUUGGCUUGGCCGAAGACCCUGAGGCAUUCGCCGAGCUCAAGGUGAAGGAGAUCAAGAACGGUCGCCUUGCCAUGUUCUCAAUGUUUGGCUUCUUUGUCCAAGCUAUCGUCACGGGCAAGGGCCCACUUGAGAACCUCGCUGACCACAUCACCGACCCCGUCAACAACAAUGCAUGGGCAUUCGCCACCAACUUUGUCCCCGGCAAGUAA
RNAcentral lists this ribosomal RNA (918 nucleotides) under Triticum aestivum (bread wheat). Its description in RNAcentral is "partial small subunit ribosomal RNA". Lineage: Eukaryota; Viridiplantae; Streptophyta; Magnoliopsida; Poales; Poaceae. The record is from RNAcentral.